CAAUGAAAUGUUACACUCCUGUGAUCUACAAGGGACUUUCACCUUGCAAGCCAAAUGCUAUUAAAAAUGCUGUUCUCCAGUCAGAGCAAGUUCAAUAUGUUAUCAAGCAGUUAGCAAGAGAGAUGGGAGAAUCACCCGAUAUUAUUCAAGAAGAAGCCAUGGAAAUCUUGGAUGAGAUGGGCCACAGUAUGCAAUUAGGAGCUGUCAGAUUUUUUGCGUUUACGUUGAGCAAAAUAUUUAAACAGCUUUUCCAGAGAGUUUGUGUGAAUGAAGAAGGAAUGCAGAGAUUGCAACACGCCAUUCAGGAGCAUCCAGUUGUUCUACUGCCCAGUCACCGAAGCUAUGUAGACUUUUUGAUGCUGUCUUAUUUGCUAUAUACGUAUGACUUGGUGUUGCCUGUCAUUGCUGCAGGAAUAGGCAAGUAUGUUCUUUUAACAAUGUUUCCAGGAUUCAGAGAAUCAGCAAGGAGUCAAGGAGCUGCUACUAUAAGCAGUUGUGUUUAACUUCUGUUCCAAAUAUGUCCUGUUAAUACCUCCCGGGGUGAGAUGCUUACAGCAUCUGAAAGCUUCUCAUCGGUGCUGAGUCCAAUCAAAGGUGAAUUUUUUCAUAGCAAGUUUGCCCACAAGUACCCCAUCUGUAGACCCAAGGCUGGGGCAAAGAUAGCUGUUGUGAAGAAGAUUUCUAUAUUGCUGUUUUUGGCCUGGGAACAGGCAAAAAUGUGCCCAGAAGCUACUGUGUAUGCGGAACCUUUUGUGAUACUUCAUACUGUUUUAAGUGCAGUCGUAGCCAGAUACAAAGUGCCAGCCACCUCGUGCUUGUUGCUGAUGCAACUGAUUCCCUUGGAUGAUUGUGUUAUAAAUUGAGACCACAAUGGAUCAUAAUCCAAUUAUAAUUUUAUUAAUUAUAGCAAGUAGAAUAUGAGCAAAG
Tyto alba (common barn owl) is the source of this 927-nucleotide long non-coding RNA. RefSeq lists it as uncharacterized. The record is from RefSeq and is a predicted model, not a curated record. Lineage: Eukaryota; Metazoa; Chordata; Aves; Strigiformes; Tytonidae. The transcript is spliced from 3 exons.